Molecule: ribosomal RNA, 459 nt
Filed under: uncultured bacterium
Lineage: Bacteria
Description: partial 16S ribosomal RNA
Rfam family: Bacterial small subunit ribosomal RNA
Source: RNAcentral
CCUACGGGAGGCAGCAGUGAGGAAUAUUGGUCAAUGGGCGGAAGCCUGAACCAGCCAAGUAGCGUGCGGGAUGAAGGCCCUACGGGUCGUAAACCGCUUUUGCACGGGGAUAAAACCCUCCACUUGUGGAGGUCUGCAGGUACCGUGCGAAUAAGGGCCGGCUAAUUCCGUGCCAGCAGCCGCGGUAAUACGGAGGGCCCGAGCGUUAUCCGGUUUUAUUGGGCUUAAAGGGAGCGUAGGCGGGCGUUCAAGUCAGCGGGAAAAUAGUGCGGCUAAACCGCGCCUCGCAGUUGAAACUGGACGCCUUGAGUUCACAACAGGCAGGCGGAAUGCGUGGUGUAGCGGUGAAAUGCAUAGAUAGCACGAGGAACCCCGAUUGCGAAGGCAGCCUGCCGGGGUGCGACUGACGCUGAGGCUCGAAGGUGCGGGUAUCAAACAGGAUUAGAUACCCGAGUAGUC